This 261-nucleotide long non-coding RNA is filed under the name Homo sapiens (human). RNAcentral describes it as "long non-coding RNA NONHSAT160942.1". The record is from RNAcentral. Lineage: Eukaryota; Metazoa; Chordata; Mammalia; Primates; Hominidae.
AUUAAAUUGCAUUCAAGAAUUCUACAGUAGCCUUGGUGGUCUGCAACGACAUUUCAGGGAUUAGAUGCUCUAUCUCCUGUCUCAGACAGGAAGAGAGAGGCACCGACUGUUGUGGAGCCUCACUGCAUGAAGAGGAGCAGACACAUGAGCAGAACCCAGGAUGGAAGAAUGUAAUCACCAGCGUGACUCCAGUGAUGGAGAUGAACUAGAUGUGGAGACUGGGGAGCAGCAGAGUCAACUCAGUUAUCAUCUUGGCGGCCG